GGGGGUAUAGCUCAGUGGUAGAGCACGUGCUUGGCAUGCAUUCAAUCCCCAGUGCCCCUA
Molecule: transfer RNA, 60 nt
Filed under: Camelus dromedarius (Arabian camel)
Lineage: Eukaryota; Metazoa; Chordata; Mammalia; Artiodactyla; Camelidae
Also listed under: 1 other name
Rfam family: tRNA
About the family: Transfer RNA (tRNA) molecules are approximately 80 nucleotides in length.
Source: Rfam by way of RNAcentral